RNAcentral lists this long non-coding RNA (2614 nucleotides) under Canis lupus familiaris (dog). RNAcentral's name for it is "lncRNA (ENSCAFG00030015552.1)". The record is from RNAcentral. Lineage: Eukaryota; Metazoa; Chordata; Mammalia; Carnivora; Canidae.
CCGGACCGGGGAGCUGCUUAAGGCCUGGUGGAAAACCUUUGGAGGCCGAUUCAAACUGGCACUUCUGCUGAGUGCUGGUGGCUCUGUGACACAGUUAUGAGAAGAAUGAACCUGAGGCCCCGGGAGCUCAGCGGCGCCUGCCUCGGCUCAGGGCAUGACCCCAGGGUCCCCGGAUCAGAGUCUCCGCAUCAGGCUCCCCUGCUUCUCCCUCUGCCAGUGUCUCUGCCUCUCUGUGUGUGUCUUUCAUGAAUAAAUAACUAAAAUCUUAAAAAAAGAAUGAACGUGACAUUGACUGACCUGGGUCUAGAGCUUAGUUCUUUGUUUAGUACGUAAGUGAACUCAGGCAGAAAUUCCCAGUGCCUCAGUUUCCCCAUCUGUGAAACACGAGUGUCUUCAUACACUGUGUCUGCGUAGAGGUGCCCGUGUCUUUAAAGUACUAGCUCGGAUCCUCUCGCAGUCAGGGUUGUCUUUACUCCAUCAGUGAGUUCCUCUGUCUGGUUACAGGUGUGCAGGCAGAGUGGCUGGUGAAAAGCUCCCCCCGCCCCCGCGUGUCCGAAUCCAGGCCUUUGCACCAAGCCUGUGAGUUGGGUAGAGUGCCCCAAGCCUCUGAGCUUUGUUUUCCAGUCUGUGAUGGAAGCAAAGUGCAACCUGUGUUGGAAGAGUCAUCAGUGACGCUGGGGAAGUGCUUAGCAGGGAGCCUCGUAGGGGCUGCAUCAUUCUCAUAUUUAGUUGCAGAAUCUGCAAAACUACCAAGGAGGAAGAGGAAAUGCGCGGCUGACUCUUAGAAGGUGGUGGUUUUCCCUCCUCAGUCGCCUGGGCUGGGUUUCCCUCAGUUCCAGGUCAGCUAGAGGCGCCACCUUCCCCAAGGGAGAGAGGGAACCGAGAGACCCCCGUGAACUCCCAAGGCGACCCGGCGAGUGGGGAAGCCAGAGCCCAGCAGGUGGGUCUUCUGACCGCGUGGAUGCUCCGUCCACACCUGGUGACUCGGUGCCCUCCGAGUCCCCACACCUCUCCGCGGCGCCUUCCCGAGUAGAACUGCAUCUCUUACGCCCCCCGCCCCAAGUUCAGGUGCCCCAACCCUUCUGGGCUGUGACAGGCACCACUCAGCGCCCUGUGAUGGUCCUUCCCGUGCUCAUGCACAGCACCCAAGGUGCUGGCCGCCCAGACCUUAUUCCCUUUGCUGGGAGGAAACUGAAUUACUGAUGUGGGCUCGGGGGCCUGCGUUCCAGAAGGACCCAGACACCCAGGGUCUUUGUGUCUCCCUGGCCCAGCAGAGAAAAGCUAAAUUGCAUUUGAAAGCCCUACAAGGGGGACGUUAAUUGAGGCAUAAAAGCGUGUGUCUUUGACCUUCCCAGGACCGGUGGUUCUCCCCUUAUCUGGGGCCUGUUCCUGCUGACACGGGUCGGGUCGCAGCCUCCUGCUUUGCACCGUCACCGAGGCUCCGGCUCCGGGUCUCCCUGCUCCACAGUGGGCCUGUGCGCUCAGCUCGCCAGUGUUUCUGUGAGCAUUUCUGAGCCUCCUUCCUGGGACUUCCCAGCCCCGGAAUAAUUUCUCAUAUCUGUCCCAAGUCCCAGUCUCAACGACAGGACUCGCUGACUUCACGGUGGGAUUUGGGGAUUUUGUAGGAAGCCGUGUCCACUCACUCACUCACUCACUCACUCAUUUGUUCACUUUUAAUUUCUCAGUCCCUCACUCAUCCGUGCACUUCUCCAGGCCUUUCACUUACGUUUUGGUCCCAUUUCCAGGCAUUUGUUGAUUGAGCCAAAGAGGACUGACUACGUGUGACAUAAGUUGGAUCGAGUCACUGUGGAAGCGUAAGGACUCCUGCAUGCACGGAGCUGUUUGAGUUAGUGAAAAUGGCUGGAGGGAGCUCGUGCAGUGGCCUAAAAUCCCUGUAACGUUGCAUUUUCCAGAAAAGUGUUCAUCCAGGGUUGUUUGAAGGUCUAGGGCUAUAUUUAGUGAGCAAGUCAGCUCAGUUAAAAGUUAGUUUUGGGAGUGAAAGAAAGACCUGAGUUCAGACGUCAGCUUUGCCACUUACCAGUGAUAGGACUCUGGGCUAGGUACUUAAACUGCUCUGAGCCUCACUGUCUUCAUUUUUAUUUUAUUUUAUUUUAUUUUAUUUUAUUUUAUUUUAUUUUAUUUUAUAUUUUAUUUUAUUUAUUUAUUUAUUUUAUUUAAUUUUAUUUUUUAAUUAAUUUAGCUGUCUUUAUUUUUAGUAUUUUUUUCAUUUUCAGUGAAUUUACUUAUUUAUUUUUUUAUUGUUCAAUUUGCCAACAUAUAGCAUAACACCCAGUGCUCAUCCCAUCAAGUGCCCCCCUCAGUGCCUGUCACCCAGUCACCCCCACCCCCCGCCCUCCUCCCCUUCCACCACCCCUUCCUUGUUCGUUUCCCAGAGUUAGGAGUCUCUUAUGUUCUGUGUCCCUCUCUGAUAUUUCCCACUCAUUUUCUCUCCUUUCCCCUUUAUUCCCUUUCACUAUUUUUUAUAUUCCCCAAAUGAAUGAGACCAUAUAAUGUUUGUCCUUCUCCUAUUGACUUACCUCACUCAGCAUAAUACCCUCCAGGUCCAUCCACAUCGAAGCAAAUGGUGCGUAUUUGCCAUUUCUAAUGGCUGAGG